RNAcentral lists this ribosomal RNA (516 nucleotides) under uncultured microorganism. Its description in RNAcentral is "bacterial SSU rRNA". It matches the Rfam family "Bacterial small subunit ribosomal RNA", at positions 9 to 507 of the family's 1533-position model. The record is from RNAcentral.
GAGUUUGAUCCUGGCUCAGGAUGAACGCUGGCGGCGUGCCUAAUACAUGCAAGUCGAGCGAACAGACGAGGAGCUUGCUCCUCUGACGUUAGCGGCGGACGGGUGAGUAACACGUGGAUAACCUACCUAUAAGACUGGGAUAACUUCGGGAAACCGGAGCUAAUACCGAAUAAUAUAUUGAACCGCAUGGUUCAAUAGUGAAAAACGGUUUUGCUGUCACUUAUAGAUGGAUCCGCGCCGCAUUAGCUAGUUGGUAGGGUAACGGCUUACCAAGGCGACGAUGCGUAGCCGACCUGAGAGGGUGAUCGGCCACACUGGAACUGAGACACGGUCCAGACUCCUACGGGAGGCAGCAGUAGGGAAUCUUCCGCAAUGGGCGAAAGCCUGACGGAGCAACGCCGCGUGAGUGAUGAAGGUCUUCGGAUCGUAAAACUCUGUUAUUAGGGAAGAACAAAUGUGUAAGUAACUAUGCACGUCUUGACGGUACCUAAUCAGAAAGCCACGGCUAACUACGUG